UCUAGAAACACAGAACUCUGGCAGAGACUCAAACCCAGACCCCACCGGUGUAAGGCGACAGUCCUAACCACUGCGCCACCAGGCUGCUCCCAUUUCUAUACUCUAUCACUAAAGUCGGUACUUUUCUAUCUCAAAAUCAGCCUUCUAUCAUUCAGUUUCACACAGAAUUCCUGAAGCACAUCCUCUCUGAGUCUACAUGUGAAAACUUGAGCAAUUAUUGCGUCAUCCCUGUUAGGUAAUUGUUAAAUGUACAAUCAAGCUCUUCAAACAAAGCUGCCUUUCUGACUGCACUCAAGAAUAAAACCCGGAGAGAAACAUCCUGGAAUCCACACACCUUAAUAUUCAUCAGGAACAUUCCCGAUGUUUGGGAUCCACUAGCGUCCUCGAGCUCGCUGCCCCUUAAAGCACCCACACUUGACUUCAGUUACUUCGAUGAAAGUGGUGUGAAGCAGUACAGACAGAAGAAAACAUCAACAUCCCAGGGAUGGAAAGCUUGAAACGUGGGUAAACACCACGAUCCCUUCCCUCGAGCAGCAUAUUCAGCAUAUUCAUUGUUUAGGUAUUCGCAAUAAAAAUUAUCCUUCAAAAUGACCCAUGUUCACAGAACCAACUGGGAGCCACUUCAUAAACAACCACUGGGGGGCUCCCACCUAGACAAUGUGACGGCAGCCAUUCUGCACCAGUACACUCACCACACAGUGGCUAUGGUAGUGAUGGAGCGGGAGAGAAUUCACUAGUUAGAUAUAGGGGAUGAUUAGGAAGCCAGAUCUGAAAGGCAGUGGGUAAUUUAGCCAGGACAUCGGGGUACCACCCCCAUUCAUUGGAAAGAGGCCAAGGGGACUUAUGAUUUAGAAAGUCAGGAUCUCAGAUUUACAUCCAAAGUAUCGCCCCUUUUUUACAGCAGAGGGUCCCCAUUAUUGCACUGCAGUCCAUUAUAUGGUGUAACCUGCUGGUCACACGAACACCUCAUCCAACAGCACCCCAACUCUUCUAGCUGAUCUCCCACCCAGGUACUGGCCAGGCCCAGACACGCUUAGCUCUAGGUGGAUUACCUGGUCGGAACUGCAGGUGGUACGACUGCUCACAAUUGACGUUUUGACACGCUUGACAUUUAAAGCACACAGAUUAUUUGCACAGUAACCAAAAGAAGAAUGUCAGUAAAAAUAUCUUGUCAGCAAUAAUCUUGACAUAGAAGCAGUUGUGUAUGGCUUCUGCAGCCAGCAGGUGUUGGGAAUAAUGUAUUACACUCAUCGACUGUCCCUUCGCCUGAUUUUCACCAUGGAAACAAUGGCUUAUCCCCCAGUAGUGUUUGUAAUUCCAGAGCAGAUUUUGGGAGGGUUCGAAUGAGGUCUUACCUUGGAUGUUAGAUAUAUCAUGGAAUGCACAGAAUCGCCAGCUAUGCUUUGAUCUACACAUUUUGAUUUGGCACAUGUAUUUUUCAGAGUAGCAUCAACAUAUUUCAGAGCAGAAUUCUCCUGAGAUUCUCUUCACAAUCUGCUGGGCAAAUCAAGGCUUCCUAAGGUCACAGAAAUGUAUUCGAUGGAUGCUUUAUGUGAAGGUCUAUCAGACUCCCGCGCUGCCAAUGGCACUGGACAAGAGUGAAGAUCUAAAACGUGCCUCUCGCUGUCACACUCAUCACAGUGAAUGAUAGCCUGCAGUCUUGUAUGCGUUGAUGGAUCACAGUGUUUUUAGUAUGUAGAGUGGCUAUUCAGGAAACUGAAGUGGAAGCUAAAGUGGAUUUUCCCUGAAGCCCCAGGACUUCUUAAGCAAAUGAGGUGACUUGUGGAUGGGGAAUUGCCUGUUUGGGUCCUCAGAAGACCUUCUACAGGAAGCUGAACAAGAGGACCUUUUAAUCCCUGUUUUAUUAGCUGUGAUAAGGGCUUCAUUUUCCACUCCUUGGAUGGGAAUUUCUCGCACUUGAAGGAAAUUCUGGAGAAGAUUGAGAGGCAAAAGCAGGGAUCAGCUUCUCCUCAGCAUGAGAAUGUGGUAUAUGGGACAUAAAGUUCUCUUUUGUAUCUCGAACCCAGAGUUCUCCAUUUUUCUUGGAGAUUGUGGGGAAGCUUCUCCACAAUGCGACUGAUUGCUCUUCUGUGAAGAAGACUGAUACUGGAGGUAAACGGCCCUUGAGCUGUUUACGAAGGAAAUCUCCAGACUCCACCAAUCGCUGAUAGUUUUUACGUGAAACUAUCGGACUGCAUCGGCUCUGAUCUUUAAAUGCACGCAGCAGAGCGUGUCUGCCGGCUUCGCGUAUGACGAGGCUGCGAAUCUGCACGUUUUACCCCAUCAGGCCCAGAAAUGUCUUUCUGGUUGUUCAUUUUGAUGUGACUCUGGCAUUUAUACUGUACCACCCCAAGUAUGGAUUUUCCUUCUUGGACUGGGGGUUUGCAGCAAAAAACGCACAAGAAAAAUAACAGAGCAUCAAAUACACAAGUGCAUUCAAUUAUUCGCUUCAGUGGAGAUGUAUCUAGUGAGACGCUGAAUCACCAAUAUUAAUGUUUUGUGUUUGCAGUCUGUUUCACAAAAUUCUAAUGCGUUAUACAGCUUUUUUGUUACAGAUUGAAAUGUCUGUAUUGCAUCCAUCCAUCCAUCCAUCUUCCAUUCAAUCACUCUUUGCAAGGCUUGAAGCACAAGAUAACAGCACAAUGUAAGGACACACCUUAGAUGAGUGUGUGUACUGCCUGUAGUGAGUUAUUGUCAGGGGUGCACAUAACCGGUACGCAAGUACGCAUUCACCUUUAAGAACGAUACGUGCGUUGUUACUAACGAUUGUUAGUAAAAGCACAAACACGUACUUAUUUUAUGUGCUUUCGCGCUGCUAUGACAAGAAAAUACCUUGUAUUUUAACCCGUAUACCGCAAAUUAAGUCGAGUUAGCAUACAAAGAUUAAAAUACAUUAUAUUUUGUUUUCAUACAUAUAUCUAUAUCCAGCUACUGAAUUAUCUUGUACUGAAUACUAACGAUUGUUUAUUGCUGUGUUUGUCUGCCAGUAUUUAGACAUGACAUCAUGAAAUUGGUUUGUGGCAGCACCAUAAAAUAUUUUAAUAAUGCACAAGGUUUACCUUGUGACUUUUAUAGUACGAACGUGCUUACACCGCUCUGCGGUGAACGGGCUAAUUCUUUUUACCGAUUGUAAUAGAAAAAAAUCGGCUCCACCGUGGUUCAUCACCGGUUCAGCAUUUCUCUUACCCGAUAUGACAGUGAGAAAAAAUGUGAUAAGGAGAAAACUAGGUCUGGUAAUAAGAAGGGGAUGGCGUUCACUGGCUCGUUCGUUCUCUAAUAUAGCGGCGCAAACAGCCGAAGGGCACAGUCAGGAGAAACACAGCUCAGCACAGGCAGUUCCUAACACAGUCUAGGCGCAUCAGCUGUGUUCCUGCUUUUAACCUCGUUAUCGUGUUCGGGUCGGCACCGACCCCUUUCUAAGUUUAAA
Long non-coding RNA from Brienomyrus brachyistius, 3427 nucleotides. RefSeq lists it as uncharacterized. The record is from RefSeq and is a predicted model, not a curated record. The transcript is spliced from 3 exons. Lineage: Eukaryota; Metazoa; Chordata; Actinopteri; Osteoglossiformes; Mormyridae.